Cynoglossus semilaevis (tongue sole) is the source of this 150-nucleotide small nucleolar RNA. The record is from Ensembl. NCBI's taxonomy places the organism in Eukaryota, Metazoa, Chordata, Actinopteri, Pleuronectiformes, Cynoglossidae.
CUUCAGUGAAGAAAUGAUGACGAGACAGAACAGUGCUCACUUGGACUCUGCUGGAAUCUGGUUCAGGUCCAUGUUCUGUGGUCCUGUUUCAGUCCUUCAGAGCCGUGGGUGCUUCUCAUGUGAAGACACUGAGGCAUUUGUCUGAGAAGG